RNAcentral lists this ribosomal RNA (497 nucleotides) under uncultured bacterium. RNAcentral describes it as "partial 16S ribosomal RNA". It matches the Rfam family "Bacterial small subunit ribosomal RNA", at positions 28 to 507 of the family's 1533-position model. The record is from RNAcentral.
GAUGAACGCUGGCGGCGUGCCUAAUACAUGCAAGUCGAGCGAACAGACGAGGAGCUUGCUCCUCUGACGUUAGCGGCGGACGGGUGAGUAACACGUGGAUAACCUACCUAUAAGACUGGGAUAACUUCGGGAAACCGGCUCUAAUACCGGAUAAUAUAUUGAACCGCAUGGUUCAAUAGUGAAAGACGGUUUUGCUGUCACUUAUAGAUGGAUCCGCGCCGCAUUAGCUAGUUGGUAAGGUAACGGCUUACCAAGGCAACGAUGCGUAGCCGACCUGAGAGGGUGAUCGGCCACACGGGAACUGAGACACGGUCCUGACUCCUACGGGAGGCAGCAGUAGGGAAUCUUCCGCAAUGGUCGAAAGCCUGACGGAGCAACGCCGCGUGAGUGAUGAAGGUCUUCGGAUCGUAAAACUCUGUUAUUAGGGAAGAACAAAUGUGUAAGUAACUAUGCACGUCUUGACGGUACCUAAUCAGAAAGCCACGGCUAACUACGUG